AGCACGGGAGCAAUCCUGGUGGCGAGUGGCGAACGGGUGAGUAAUAUAUCGGAACGUGCCCAGUCGUGGGGGAUAACGCAGCGAAGGCUGUGCUAAUACCGCAUACGAUCUCUGGAUGAAAGCGGGGGACUCGCAAGAGCCUCGCGCGAUUGGAGCGGCCGAUAUCAGAUUAGCUAGUUGGCGGGGUAAAAGCCCACCUAGGCGACGAUCUGUAGCAGGUCUGAGAGGACGACCAGCCACACUGGAACUGAGACACGGUCCAGACUCCUACGGGAGGCAGCAGUGGGGAAUUUUGGACAAUGGGCGAAAGCCCGAUCCAGCAAUGCCGCGUGCAGGAUGAAGGCCUUCGGGUUGUAAACUGCUUUUGUACGGAACGAAACGGUCUGCCCUAAUACGGUGGGCUAAUGACGGUACCGUAAGAAUAAGCACCGGCUAACUACGUGCCAGCAGCCGCGGUAAUACGUAGGGUGCGAGCGUUAAUCGGAAUUACUGGGCGUAAAGCGUGCGCAGGCGGUUAUAUAAGACAGAUGUGAAAUCCCCGGGCUCAACCUGGGACCUGCAUUCGUGACUGUAUAGCUAGAGUACGGUAGAGGGGGAUGGAAUUCCGCGUGUAGCAGUGAAAUGCGUAGAUAUGCGGAGGAACACCGAUGGCGAAGGCAAUCCCCUGGACCUGUACUGACGCUCAUGCACGAA
This 693-nucleotide ribosomal RNA is filed under the name uncultured soil bacterium. Its description in RNAcentral is "bacterial SSU rRNA". It matches the Rfam family "Bacterial small subunit ribosomal RNA", at positions 71 to 757 of the family's 1533-position model. The record is from RNAcentral.